Pezoporus occidentalis (night parrot) is the source of this 1874-nucleotide long non-coding RNA. RefSeq lists it as uncharacterized. The transcript is spliced from 5 exons. NCBI's taxonomy places the organism in Eukaryota, Metazoa, Chordata, Aves, Psittaciformes, Psittacidae. The record is from RefSeq and is a predicted model, not a curated record.
UUAAGCUAGAUUUGCUCUAUAGAAACUUUUCUGGCUUUAUUGAGUUUAGACUGAUGAUGUACAUGGUCUACUGUCCUUAGAAGGGACGUAAAUAGGACAACAUAUAAACCUUGACAACUGUGAACUUUGUUUUUAGGCUAUAAAUUUGAUGGGAGUAAGGAAGGUAUACUAAUCUUUUUGUUCUGCAUGAAACGUUUAGUGUAUGGGAUUAUGGCCCAUGUGUAGGGUUGCUAUGGAUGACAGUACUAAUAAUUUACUUCUUUAUUUUAAGAUUGCUUUUAUAUAAACCUAUUUAUAGCAUGGAACUCCUCACAUUGCUAUGGUGUUAACAACUGCAAGGCUAAAAGCACAAAUGUUUGAACUGAGAUACCUGUUGCUCAGCCACUGAAAUACCAUUGUCUGAUACUAACAUUACUUUGCAGAUAAGGGCCCUCUCUCAAUAGAGCCUUGUGCAAAUGGUGGUUUCAGAAGCAGAGACAGAUGCCCUGUUGGAGUUGCUGAGAUGGUGAUAUCUUUUACUGAGGGAUCAGAGGAUGAGGGCCACAUUGCAGCACCUCUUGGAAUGACCUAAGGGAAGAAUGGCACACUCACACUGAGGAAAAUGGAGUACAUGUAACUUGCCCAUAUUAUACCCUGAAGAGCUGUAGAAACACCCAUACAGCAUUUGAGUCAUUACCAAGAAAACCUUUUUAACAGCCUGUCCUCACCUGAGGAACUUUGUGCUCCACUUCAUACAGAGUGCUUGGCUUUAAGUCUCCUUGCAGAAGAAUAAUGGCUAUUAGGUAACAAGGUCUAACAGAAAAACACCACCCAGACAUGGGAAACCAGUAUGCCUGAAUCUGGUCCAAGCUGAUAAUGACCAAAGUGAUUAUUCGAUGAAAAGGGAGCCUGGGAACUGAAGGGGACAGGAAGGACCUGGAAGCCACAAAGCAGUUCUCUGCAAGACUGAGAAAGCAUUUAAGGAAGAAAACUGAUGGAUGCUCCACUUUGGUGUCUGUAGGUUCCUACCUCUGGAAAUGAGCAGGAGGAGUGGAAUGGAAUGCAACAGGAUGCUGCAGGACUCACUUUGGCUUUCCCAGAAAAGUUUUUAAGAUGGAAAAUCUAAAGUUGUAAGAUGGCUGCUUACUUCCCACUGCUCUCUCAUGGAAAAAUGCCAAACUAGAGUGCUUCAUAUGCUCCUUUUUUUUUGUGAAGGGUUUUGUGAGGUUGGGUUUUGUCAACUAUAAAUAAUAGAAUUCCACAAAAAAUAUAAGAUUCCUGUUGAAUUCCACCCUCUCUGAGAAUUAAAUUUAACUAUUGCCAAACAUAGAUGGGAUUUGGCUUUUAUUUGCUGUCUUGGUACUUGCAUAUUUGAGGUAAGCCAGAUGAAAUUAGCAAAGCUUAACAUGUCAAUUUCCAAGCUCAUUAAGUUACCAGAUGUAAAAUUUUCAGAAGUGUAUUAAGUCAGGUGCAGAAAACUGUUCCAUCCUUUUGUUGUUCUUGAACAUAACAAAGUUUGUUUUCCAUCAGCACCUAAGUAGAAGAUUUUAUUGGACUUGUAGGCUUCUGCUGAUACCCAAGAUAGGACACGAAGCACCUAAAUUAGUUUAAUUAAUCCUCUGUUAGUUAUGUGAAAUUCCAUCAUGAUCAUGAAUCUGCAGUGUUUCAGAUGACUAUGGAGAUUCUACAAAGACUGAAAAUAUUGUUGGAAAUAUGAAGCCAGCCCAGGGGGUAUAGGGUGUGUGAGAGCUUCCAAAUGACAAUUACUGUCACUGUACUGCAGAAUUCUCUAAAUUACUGUUUAAAUCACUUAUAUAGCUGUGCCUUUAAGUUAGAAACAUAUUUAAUUUCAGCUCUUAUUAACCUUCUAUCCAAAUAGAAACUAUUUCCAAACA